GCAAAAUAGAAAGGAAAGCGGGCAGCCAGAGCAACGUGAGCAGGACGGAGGAGGGGGCUGGAGGGGUGAGGGGUGAGGGCUGCUCGGACCUUCCGGAAAACGACUCCCCAGGAGAAAGAAAGAGCAAGAGAGAGACCAGGAAGAAAGACUCACGAAGAAACCAGGAACGGAAAAGGGGAAGAUGCAAGACUGCCUGGGGAAAGUAGGUCAGAAGGCCAGGGUGUGAGAAGGGAGCCCCAGAGGCUGGGGAGAGACAGAACCUUCCCUCGGCAAGAAGGGGCCAGACUCAGGCUUGCUGCUGACGGGGAGUUUAUUUGCACUGAACUGCGGAGGGGCAGGGGCUGCCGGGCUCCAGCUCAGGGCUGCUUCAGCUGCGGCUGCGGCUCCGGCUCGGGCUCCGGCUCGGGCUCCGGCUCGGGCUCCGGCUCCUCUAUCUUGCUCUGAGCCUGAGGUGGGUGAGUCCCGUGCUCUAAGGCAGAGAAUCUUCUUGGUCGCCACUGUGGGAAGCCAGACACGGAGGGUAGGAGAAAGAGGAGGGGGAAGGGAAAGGGAAUAAGCUAUUCCUUCCCAGGCCCCUCCCUGCCCAUAUGGUCCCAGGCCUUCUCUCAGCCCCUCCGAGCCUCCUUUGGUUCCUUCAGGUACAAGGGGUCCCUGGAGUGCAGAGGCUCAUGGAGAGGGGGCUCUGAGGGCAAGUUCAGGGGUCAACCUUGCUCAUCUACCUGAGGAAGGGGUGCCAGACAGCACACCAAGGACUGGGGAGGGGGGCUCCCGGCUCACCCGUCUUCUCCAAAGGUGAAAGCUAAAGGCUCCAGUCACCAACACGAGCAGGAAGAGGAUACCAAGGAUGAGGAGAGGGAAGUGGCCUGUUUUCCGGGCCCCCGGGGCUCUCCCAGAACGUUGGGCACCUACGGAGAGAGGUCAGGAUUGCAACAGCCAUAGGGUCAUGGCUGGAAGGACACCUUGCCAUACCCCUCUGAUAUGUUACCGACAAUGAGACCCAGAGAGUUUAAGGGACUUGUCCAGGGUCACUCAGCUAAUUAUUGGCAGAAGUGGGUCAGGCCUAGACAAGAGCUGGAGGUCAGCUCCCUGGCUGGAGAGAAAGAGCGGGGACGGGGCGUGGUGUGGGGAGGAGGUCUGGAAGUGGGAUGGAGGUGACUGGUCUGGAGUUGGGGCUAUGGUGCUGUGGGGUCUCGGACCUGGGCGAGACAGCUCAGCGAGGUAUACCGCGGUCCCGAGAAGCCUCUGCCCCUGGUACAGGCGGCACUGCCAGGGCUGAGAAAGGAGCCUGGCCUCCGGCAUCAGCAGCCAGGGGCCUGGAGAGGUCCUGCGAGACCGCUCGUCCAGGGGGCUCCACACAAAGUGUUCUUGUCCAGAUGCUGGAGUCACCUCACAAAGCAGUUUUCUCAGGCUGCCAGGCUCCCUACUGCCUUCGGGGGACUGUUCAAACUCAAACUGGCCGGAAGGAUCACAUGACAGAUAUUUCAGAUUCGUUUCCAUGACUUUCUACUCAAACGCUCAGAACCCCCAUCGUUCAGAGAACAGAUCAACAGAUCUAGAGACAGAUCAUCUCGAAGCUGUGCGGUGGGGAUGGGCAGGAGGAGAAAAUUGAUGAAUGGCCUGGAGCUGAGCAUGGUGUACAAGC
This is a long non-coding RNA of Balaenoptera ricei (Rice's whale), 1642 nucleotides long. RefSeq lists it as uncharacterized. The transcript has 3 exons. The record is from RefSeq and is a predicted model, not a curated record. NCBI's taxonomy places the organism in Eukaryota, Metazoa, Chordata, Mammalia, Artiodactyla, Balaenopteridae.